This 348-nucleotide unclassified non-coding RNA is filed under the name soil metagenome. Its description in RNAcentral is "partial contains 5.8S ribosomal RNA, internal transcribed spacer 2, and large subunit ribosomal RNA". The stretch from base 1 to 120 matches the Rfam family "5.8S ribosomal RNA", at positions 35 to 154 of the family's 154-position model. The record is from RNAcentral.
GAUGAAGAACGUAGCGAAAUGCGAUAAGUAAUGUGAAUUGCAGAAUUCAGUGAAUCAUCGAGUCUUUGAACGCACAUUGCGCCCCCUGGUAUUCCGGGGGGCAUGCCUGUCCGAGCGUCAUUGCUGCCCUCAAGCGCGGCUUGUGUGUUGGGCCCCGCCCCCCGGCUCCCGGGGGGCGGGCCCGAAAGGCAGCGGCGGCACCGCGUCCGGUCCUCGAGCGUAUGGGGCUUCGUCACCCGCUCCGUAGGCCCGGCCGGCGCCCGCCGGCGACCCCCCUCAAUCUUUUCAGGUUGACCUCGGAUCAGGUAGGGAUACCCGCUGAACUUAAGCAUAUCAAUAAGCGGAGGA